AUUGAACGCUGGCGGCAGGCCUAACACAUGCAAGUCGAGCGGAUGAAGGGAGCUUGCUCCUGGAUUCAGCGGCGGACGGGUGAGUAAUGCCUAGGAAUCUGCCUGGUAGUGGGGGAUAACGUCCGGAAACGGGCGCUAAUACCGCAUACGUCCUGAGGGAGAAAGUGGGGGAUCUUCGGAACUCACGCUAUCAGAUGAGCCUAGGUCGGAUUAGCUAGUUGGUGGGGUAAAGGGCUACCAAGGCGACGAUCCGCAACUGGUCUGAGAGGAUGAUCAGUCACACUGGAGCUGAGACGCGGUCCAGACUCCUACGGGAGGCAGCAGUGGGCAAUGUUGGACAAUGGGCGAAAGCCUGAUCCAGCCAUGCCGCGUGUGUGAAGAAGGUCUUCGGAUUGUAAAGCACUUUAAGUUGGGAGGAAGGGCAGUAAGUUAAUACCUUGCUGUUUUGACGUUACCAACAGAAUAAGCACCGGCUAACUUCGUG
RNAcentral lists this ribosomal RNA (484 nucleotides) under uncultured bacterium. RNAcentral describes it as "partial 16S ribosomal RNA". It matches the Rfam family "Bacterial small subunit ribosomal RNA", at positions 30 to 507 of the family's 1533-position model. The record is from RNAcentral.